RNAcentral lists this ribosomal RNA (497 nucleotides) under uncultured bacterium. RNAcentral's name for it is "partial 16S ribosomal RNA". It matches the Rfam family "Bacterial small subunit ribosomal RNA", at positions 28 to 507 of the family's 1533-position model. The record is from RNAcentral.
GAUGAACGCUGGCGGCGUGCCUAAUACAUGCAAGUCGAGCGAACAGACGAGGAGCUUGCUCCUCUGACGUUAGCGGCGGACGGGUGAGUAACACGUGGAUAACCUACCUAUAAGACUGGGAUAACUUCGGGAAACCGGAGCUAAUACCGGAUAAUAUAUUGAACCGCAUGGUUCAAUAGUGAAAGACGGUUUUGCUGUCACUUAUAGAUGGAUCCGCGCCGCAUUAGCUAGUUGGUAAGGUAACGGCUUACCAAGGCAACGAUGCGUAGCCGACCUGAGAGGGUGAUAGGCCACACUGGAACUGAGCCACGGUCCAGACUCCUACGGGAGGCAGCAGUAGGGAAUCUUCCGCAAUGGGCGAAAGCCUGACGGAGCAACGCCGCGUGAGUGAUGAAGGUCUUCGGAUCGUAAAACUCUGUUAUUAGGGAAGAACAAAUGUGUAAGUAACUAUGCACGUCUUGACGGUACCUAAUCAGAAAGCCACGGCUAACUACGUG